Molecule: ribosomal RNA, 301 nt
Filed under: uncultured bacterium
Lineage: Bacteria
Description: partial 16S ribosomal RNA
Rfam family: Bacterial small subunit ribosomal RNA
Source: RNAcentral
CAGCAGCCGCGGUAAAACGAAGGGUGCAAGCGUUAAUCGGAAUUACUGGGCGUAAAGCGUGCGUAGGCGGUUUGUUAAGUCUGUUGUGAAAUCCCCGGGCUCAACCUGAGAAUGGCAAUGGAUACUGGCAAGCUAGAGUGUGUCAGAGGAUGGUGGAAUUCCCGGUGUAGCGGUGAAAUGCGUAGAGAUCGGGAGGAACAUCAGUGGCGAAGGCGGCCAUCUGGGACAACACUGACGCUGAGGCACGAAAGCGUGGGGAGCAAACAGGAUUAGAUACCCCCGUAGUCCCUGUCUCUUAUAC